This 496-nucleotide ribosomal RNA is filed under the name uncultured bacterium. RNAcentral's name for it is "partial 16S ribosomal RNA". It matches the Rfam family "Bacterial small subunit ribosomal RNA", at positions 29 to 507 of the family's 1533-position model. The record is from RNAcentral.
AUGAACGCUGGCGGCGUGCCUAAUACAUGCAAGUCGAGCGCACGGACGAGAAGCUUGCUUCUCUAAUGUUAGCGGCGGACGGGUGAGUAACACGUGGAUAACCUACCUAUAAGACUGGGAUAACUUCGGGAAACCGUAGCUAAUACCGGAUAAUAUUUUGAACCGCAUGGUUCAAAAGUGAAAGACGGUCUUGCUGUCACUUAUAGAUGGAUCCGCGCUGCAUUAGCUAGUUGGUAAGGUAACGGCUUACCAAGGCAACGAUGCAUAGCCGACCUGAGAGGGUGAUCGGCCACACUGGAACUGAGACACGGUCCAGACUCCUACGGGAGGCAGCAGUAGGGAAUCUUCCGCAAUGGGCGAAAGCCUGACGGAGCAACGCCGCGUGAGUGAUGAAGGUCUUCGGAUCGUAAAACUCUGUUAUUAGGGAAGAACAUAUGUGUAAGUAACUGUGCACAUCUUGACGGUACCUAAUCAGAAAGCCACGGCUAACUACGUG